Molecule: RNA transcript, 3055 nt
Organism: Zalophus californianus (California sea lion)
Lineage: Eukaryota; Metazoa; Chordata; Mammalia; Carnivora; Otariidae
Gene: CCBE1
Gene name: collagen and calcium binding EGF domains 1
Exons: 12
Source: RefSeq, a predicted model, not a curated record
GGGGAGGGUGCUGCCCAAAGCCGAGCCCAGCGAGUCCGUGGAUCCCGAGUGGACAUCCCGGGCGAGACGGCUGAGACCCCACGACCCCGCGACGGCCGAGCACUGCAGGCGACCCGUCUCCCUGCUCCUCCGCCACCUCUGCACCCACACCCCGACUCCUGGCGUGCCCCCCGCCUCCAGGACACCCCCAGCCGCGUGCCUCGCGCAGGUGGCGCAGACGCCCCUGCCCUCCGGCGCCCCCUGCCGGGAAGAGAGAAGGCGGCGGCCGCGGAGGAGCGGAGCACAGGCGGGGAGAGAGCUCCAGCACCGGGAAGAAGCUGGGAGCUUCCCUGAUGGUGCCGCCGCCUCCGAGUCGGGGAGGAGCGGCGAGGGGCCAGCUGGGCAGGAGCCUGGGUCCGCUGCUGCUGCUCCUGGCGCUAGGACACACGUGGAGCUACCGAGAGGAGCCCGAGGACGGCGACAGAGAGAUCUGCUCAGAAAACAAGAUCGCCACGACGAAAUACCCGUGUCUGAAGCCUUCGGGGCAGCUUACCACGUGUUUCAGGAAAAAAUGCUGCAAAGGGUAUAAGUUUGUUCUUGGACAAUGCAUCCCAGAAGAUUACGACGUGUGUGCCGAGGCUCCCUGUGAACAGCAGUGCACAGAUAACUUCGGCCGAGUGCUGUGCACCUGUUAUCCAGGGUUCCGGUACGACCGGGAGAGACACCGGAACCGCGAGAAACCUUACUGCCUGGAUAUCGACGAGUGUGCCACCAGCAACGAGACGCUAUGCGCGCACACGUGCAUCAACACCGUGGGCAGUUACCGCUGUGAAUGCCGGGAGGGUUACAUCCAGGAGGACGACGGGAGGACGUGCACCAGGGGAGACAAAUACCCCAACGACACUGGGCACGGCGAGAAGUCUGAGAACGCGGUAGAGGCCAGAACCUGCUGUGCCACAUGCAAGGAGCUCCACCAGAUGAAGCAGACAGUGCUGCAGCUGAAGCAAAAGAUUGCCCUGCUCCCCAACAAUGCUGCCGACCUGGGCAAGUACAUCACAGGCAACAAGGUGCUGGCCUCAAACGCCUACCUUCCGGGACCUCCUGGGCUGCCUGGGGGCCAGGGCCCUCCAGGCUCACCAGGACCAAAGGGGAGCCCGGGCUUCCCCGGUAUGCCGGGCCCUCCCGGGCAGCCCGGCCCGCGGGGCUCAAUGGGACCCAUGGGACCAUCUCCUGAUCUGUCCCACAUUAAGCAAGGCCGGAGGGGCCCUGUGGGUCCGCCAGGUGCGCCCGGAAGAGAUGGCUCUAAGGGGGAGAGAGGAGCUCCUGGACCCAGAGGGUCGCCGCUAGAAGACACAAGGGAGGAGGCUGAUGCUUGCACUUAUUCACGCACUCACCCAAACACGACAGCUGCAAAGCAGAAUAAGUGUUGGUGACUGUGAGCUGCAUUGUAUCGGUGAUUAACUCUCAGUAAAAUUCCAACCAAGUCUGAACAAGCUUAGAACAUCGACCUUCCCCUCCUCUCUGAAGCACAUGGCCAUCCUCAGGGCUGCAGGCUGCAGACAGAAUCUUCAUUUCCAAGGAGUGACCCCUGGAUACCUAACGAUUAUCUACAACCGCACCCCCCUGCCCCCCAGAUUCAGCCGAGCUCUCGGUGCUUGGGAUCAAGCUGCUGCCCGGUCUUCCUGUUGGCCACCGCAAUUCCAAGGGCAGGGGAGAAGGCCGGCAACACUGGGACUGGGGGCCCUUGGCCCGAUUGCAUCUCACUGGAGGGUUUCGAAGCUUGGGGGAAUUAGGCUAGACCCGCCGAGGAGUCUGGUGCUAGCAGGUCGGAGAAUGCCAGAAAGCUGAGUGUUCUGGCUGAAGCUGGAGAUUGGGAUUUCUGACCCUUGUAUGAGAAAAGGAUGUGGCUGAGUGUGGCACUGGGACACGUUAAUGCCCACAUGCAGAGUGGAUGUUUGAGAAUUAAACCACCCAUAAAGUGAGGCGUUAUAAAUGGGCUGUGACGGCAGCAAACAUUUACUUUGAGCCGCAGAGGUCUGGAUUUGCUAAGCGACACGGGUGAGUGCACCAUGGGGAUCGGAGCCAGGAGGUUACCGGGGACUCCUCCGUGCUCUGGAGUGUUUUCAAGUCAAUAAAACCUACCGCAGUGUGACCUGGGGGCUAAAUAGGACAAUAUUUAAGAAAAAAAAAAAGAAAACACAAAGAGACUCCAGCCUCAUUCUCUUUUUAAAUAAAAUUGUGUGAGCAGGCGCAGGGGGUUCCUACUGGAAAGUUUCAUGGUACUUUCGUAGUAAAUUAUGAAUUCCACGUUGGAACCAAACAGGACAGUUUGAACAUAACGCUUUCUGAAGCUAGGAAAACAGGCUCCUAGUGCUGGCCCUGCUCCCCUCCUGAGCUAAGCCACCUACCUACUUGUGGGAGAGACAAAUCACCCCUGCGGUCUCGGUGCCCUGGCUCACCCCUUGAGAACCUCCUUUUUUCCCUUUCCUUCUUUCCUUCUUUUAUGUACAUUUAGUUCCCACAGGCUUCCUUUAUCAAUAUUUCAAUUGGUUGCUGCUGACCUAUACUUGAAUCCAAAUAUUUGCCCUAUUCAGUGUGAAUUGUGCAUUCAGCCAAAUGCUUGAUGAUGUGUGUGUUCUUUUGAGCAGACUGAAUGGGCUACUUGACUAGGUGAUGCCGAUAUAGCCUGGCCAUUAGUCGUAUUUGUUAGAAUUGACCAGAUGCAACAAGGAAAGAAGAGAGAAGAGGGGGUUUGUGUGCAGUUUUCCUUCCAGCACAGCCACGGUGAAGAAAACGAAAUUGUGUACUUUCCAGGGCAUAAUUACAAACUGUCUCUGUGUUCUUCAAAACAGACUCUUAGUCUAGCAUGAAUCAAAUGAGCCAGCAAUCAAAGGAGAUGAAUACUCCUGAAGGCUCACAGUUUUAUUUGCUCAUUGGAAAAUUACCCCCUGUAAAAUGAAUACGGUAUUUUUAAUGGUGACUGGCAUUCGUUUUUCCAUUGUUCAGAUGAGGACACAAAGAAUGAAAUAAAGCUUUACACAUCAAUUGCCUUCAAUUACUGCCGGUCUCUAUACUG